CCUCCCCCGCCCGCGUGGUCUCCGCCACCGCAGCCGCCCGAGAGGAGCUGGGGGAGGACGGUGGCCCGCGAGGCUCGUCGUAGACAACGCGGCGGCGAUGUCCGCGAGCCAGGAGAGUGCUGCGGCGGCAGCGGCGGGGCCUCGCGCGCGGCAAGGCGGCCUGGGCUUCGGCCUCCCUCCGGUUUCUAGGAAGCCGGCCGGCGGCCAGCGCGGGAGCAGCGGCAGCAGAGGCGGAGGCUCCGGCGCGUCGCUCUCCUCCCCGUCAGCCUGAGCCGGGGGAGGCCAGGCGGCCCGGGUGGCUGUAGGGGGUCCGCUGCCCGAGAAUGGGAAUUCUCUUCACCAGGAUAUGGAGACUGUUCAAUCACCAGGAGCACAAAGUUAUCAUUGUUGGGCUGGAUAAUGCAGGGAAAACCACCAUCCUUUACCAAUUUUCUAUGAAUGAAGUUGUGCAUACAUCCCCUACAAUAGGAAGUAAUGUAGAAGAGAUAGUGAUUAAUAAUACACGUUUCCUAAUGUGGGAUAUUGGAGGCCAAGAAUCUCUUCGUUCUUCCUGGAAUACCUAUUAUACUAACACAGAGUUUGUAAUAGUUGUUGUGGACAGUACAGACAGAGAAAGGAUUUCUGUAACUAGAGAAGAACUCUAUAAAAUGUUAGCCCAUGAGGACCUAAGGAAAGCUGGAUUGCUGAUUUUUGCUAAUAAACAAGAUGUUAAAGAAUGCAUGACUGUAGCAGAAAUCUCCCAGUUUUUGAAACUGACUUCCAUAAAAGAUCACCAGUGGCAUAUCCAGGCAUGCUGUGCUCUUACUGGCGAGGGAUUAUGCCAAGGACUUGAAUGGAUGAUGUCACGACUUAAGAUUAGAUGAUCUCUACUGAUCUCUUCUCAUAGACUUUGUAUAAACGAAGUGCUGGACUUUACCUGAAAGCUGCAAAAAUGACUGGUUCAGAUAUAUUUAUAAUAAACUGAUUUAAACUUUUUCUAUAAGAAGAAAAAUUGAGACCACUUAUUUGAAAACAAAGAUGAAGUCUCAUCUUCCCAUCUGCUUUCUUGUUACUUUCCUCCAAAGGAUUAGUUUCUUCCACAGGUCUUAAAGCUGUGAUCGACAUUUUUCUCAUAAUGAAUCCUCUCAGGACGUUGUAUAGCUGUGCAAAGAUCUUCCAGUUGCUGUCGAAACAACAGAUUUUCACUUUGUAGCUGAGAACACAUCUCCUCUAGGGAUUCCAGCUUUCCAUUGUAUGUGUUCACUUUUUCUCCUUCACUUUGAUACAUGUGUUCAAUUUCCUUUUUUUGACACUGUGCUUGGCUUAGGUCUCUGUGAACACGUUCUAAAACCGAAGUUGUUUCUCUAAGAGCAACUCUUGUGUGAUGGCACUCAGUUUCUAGACAAUUGAAUUUACUUUCAGCUUUAGAGAGUUGUUGAGAAAGAAUCAAAUUGUUAUGUUUUAGGUUAGACAUAUCAAAAUUGAUUUUGUCCCAAAAACAAACCAUUCAUCUCUUGCUCCCUGUCAAGCAAGCUGUAGGUCUCUGUUGGAUUUCUGCCUUUGCUCAAGAUUAUGGAUAGCAGUAAGCAGUCUGGAAAUGUAGGAUUCAACUUCUGUUUCCAGUCUUUCUUCUUUUGUUUUACAUUCUCCUGUUCAGAGGUUAGCAUUUUAUUCUCAGCUGUCUUAUGUUGAGAUACUGUUUUUGUUAGUGUUUCCUCAUUCAGUUUUAUUAUCUUUUGAAGACGGUCAUUCUUUUAUUUUAAAAUGGCAAUGUCCUCAAAAUACUUGCUUUCCAUUUCCUGAUUCUCAUUUUUGACUGUGCUUAGUUCCAGUCUUAGUAUGGCGAUUUCAUGCAACAGAUCUUUUUCUUUUUUAUGACUCAGAAACCUCAGAAUUCAUUUUAUUAAGAUCUUUUUCUUUCUCCCUUUGGUUGCAAAGAUCAUUGGUCAGAAUUGUAUCUUGUAAUAUUCUGUCAUUGUGUUCUCGAGAACAUGGCCUCUGAGUGUCAUUUUGUUCUAGUGUGACGUGAGGGUGGUUAUGUUCACUUCCAUCAAGCCUCACUUGCUCUUUCUCUGAUGUCAUGCCUAAGUGUAGUUCUGCUUCUCCAGUAAGAAUGUAUUUUCAUCUUCGAUCUGCAGUGUCAGAGAAAUGAUCAACAUACUUCUGUGGACGUCUUGCAGAGAAACUCUCAGAAUCCCCAGGUGAUUUUGCAUCAUCUUCUCCUAAUCCUAAUGCUGACAUUUUAACUUUUUUCUUUCCAAUUGCCGGCUUUGUUGCUUUUUCCUUGGCAUCAACAUUGAAGCCUUUAUUCUCUGAUGUAGACCGUGAACCAUCCAUGCCAGGUUUGCAGGAAAGACGCUUCAUCCUGUCUCUGUCAUUCAAGCUCUCUGAAUAGAGCUCGAGAAGUCUCUCUCUGCACUUGUGGUCCGUUCCCCGUGCAGGCGGCUUUGUGGAUCUUUCUGAGAUCUUUCUCUCGAAUGUAGUAGUUGUCUCCAGUCUCAGGCAUCCUUCCAACACCAUGGCUCUGCCAGCUGUUUAAGGAGUCCAAGGGCAACACACGCAUCUGACCCCCAAAGUGAAAAACGUUCCUAAGGGCUCCGGAACCUCCUCAGCACUCCCCAGGCUUUUCAGUCUCCUGAGCCCAAACCACAGUGGACUCUAGAGCAGCCAGCUGCCUCUCCCAGAAUAUCCCAGCAGGGCAGUUAGGCAGUUUGGAAUCUCUCAGCCCAGAAUGGCUGUCACCAAGCAACGGUGCACGGGUCAGAGGCUGAUGUCAUUGUGCAUGCGCACAGAAGCCCCGUGGCCAAGGGCACCCAGAGGUCACGUGCAAGGCCCAGGCGUCCCCCAUCUCAGAGGGUGCUUGCGGGCAGCGCUGGGUUCCUUUUGCCUCGUGAUUUCACCCAUUUAUUCAGUCGAGAAUGGCCAGAAAAGAUGUACCUUUCUCAUACUUUUUUCAAAUCACUCUAAGGAAUUAUUUGUUACAUAUUAAAAACUCCCUUAAAAACUCAGAUCUGUUUUGUAGAUAGUGUGGUUUCAUGAGAGACAAAUAGUCUGUCCAGUAGCCCAGCAAAUCCACACCUUUCAUCCUUUUUAUUUUUUGAGUAAUCACAGUGUAGUCUCUUGGAUUGCUGCCACAUCCGUUCGACAAUAUACCAGCACAUACCCUUGUCAUGGUGUGGGCUAACGUUUAUUCUCAACUGGAUGAUUAAAGCAUUCACUACAUUGUUGCGGUUGGUUAAGUGUAGUAUAUUAUUGACAUGGCAUCAUGCGAAUGCAUAAACUCUUAUACUACAUUUGCAAAAUAUUUUUUUGUUAUGUUUUACCCUUCCAGGCUAACCAUUAGAAAUAACAUGUUAUCUAUAUACUUGUGCAUAAAAGCAAAAUUACAGUGGGGAAACAUUUUUAAUUAAUGCAUGAAAAUGCAUUGAAAUAAUUUUAACAGUAUUCUAAAUAAGAUGGAGAGGCAGAUGAAUAGUCAUAUUGGCAAUUUAUAUGUAGUUUAAGUGGAAUUAUGCAAAAGGCAAUGCUUUUGGUUUUCAAAUAUGCUACUUUUGGAUAUAAAUAAAGAUCUUAUUCAGGGUCAUUGUGCUCAGCUUUAAAAAGAGCAAAGCUUCAUACCUCUGUCCAUGUGGCUGGAUUUAAAUAUCCUGUGUUUGACACUAAUUUUGAAAGUCACAUGACUUCUCUUGAUGUCUCGGUAAAAGUCACCAUAUGCUAUAAGCAUUUAAAUAUGUUUAAUUUUGUCCUAAUAGCAUUUAUAAGCAUAUCUUACACAUUAUAUUGAGGAUUCUUGUUUGAAAUUUUCAGCUCUAUCAUCUUUGGCUCUCAUGAUGGGCAAAGAAUAGAUUGAAGGGAGGUAGUUUGGAGAAGGGGUAAUUGGGUAGGGAAAAAUGACAUUUUGCCUUAAGAAAAAAAAAGUGCUUCAGCACUGCUUACUGGCAUUUUUAAUGCAGGUAGUUAGAGUGAGUUUAGAAGUGUGGCAUGGAUAGAAGUUUUCUGGCCUUUAAGUAAAGUGCCUGGUAGAAAGUUACACUGAGAUCACAGAGAAAUGCAGGGUGCUUGAGGAAAGUCAGGAUGUCCCUGCGAUACUCUUUUCUUUUUUGUCUGAGUGUAUAGUAUUAAGAUGCCUAGAAGUGGGAUCCUAAUGCACCCUCUCUUACAGGCGCUUAACAUUUCUUGCUGUGACUACAGCAACCACAUACAGUACAGACAACCUCAAAAUCUGUUUAUAUUAGUGUAAAUAGAAAAACGAUAGACAAUUUUCUAGCUUUCUCUGCAGGCAUUUUGGGGAAUAUAUCUUUAGUGUGUCCUACUUUGUAUAUAGCGGAUAGCAGCACAUCCCAGAUUAUCUAUGGACUUUGGGGUCAUCUUCUUUCAAUCGCCCAGUUGUAUCUUGGCAUCACUAUGUCUUUCAGGGCUGGGUAGAGACAAGGUUUCUUUGCAUGACUUAACUUUGAUCCCUCCUACUGUCCAAACAUAAUCUGAAACUUCUUGCUUCAGGAUCAGCUUUCCCAUAGCUCAGCCAGCCUUUGCUCUCCUGUAUCUUCAUUCACCAUCAGUGAAGAUAUGUUAUCUCGGUCCUAGAGGUAUUCUAAACUUUGCCUAUAUCCGUUGUACCCCAAACAGUUAGUUUCUAGAACAUUUUCUAGUUCUUUGCCACCCUCCCACGACUGGCUUGAUUCAUUGACUUUGCUCAUUAGAGAGUAUUGUCAGAGUUGUUGAGUUCAUCAAAACACUGGCUUGCUGUUAUACGGCAUAUAAUGCCAUAGUAAAGUCUUUUAAAUUAUACUCUAUUUAACAUUUGAAUGCUUCUUAAUUUUAGCUUCACAUGCAGGAAAGUAGAUUCAGAAAGAUAAGAGAACUACCUAGACUCUGCCAGGUCCUUGAGCUAAUAAGUUAGAUGUGGAAAGGACUCAAUUAUGUGAGUAUUACCUUUCCAUUACCAAAAAUGGGUUACAUUUUGUAAAAUACCAAUACAAAUAAUUCCAGUUGGGAAAAGAUGUCAAACCAGAUUUAUAUGUAGUCUUUAACCUGAAGACAUCUUUACAUCCUUAAAACCAUAGACCACGUUCCAUUUUUUUCCUCAUGUUUACCUAAAGACAAAAGAUACUAGAUACCUAAAGGAAUUAGUAAUGAGAAGCAUAUCUUUACAAAAUAAACCUGUUAAAAUGGACUUUAAAAGAUAUUAAAAUCAUCAACUGUUAAUGUGUUUACUGUGCAGAUGCAGACAUAGCACAGUAAGUACUUCUUUCAAGGUCCACUUACACAAAAAUAAAACUUGGAUACCGUUCUCCCUCAAAGAAUUGAUGACAAUUUGAAGACCAUAAUGGUGGAGUAAAAGAAAGAAAGACAGAAUUUAAAAACUGUGGAUGCUAAAAAGAGUAAUUGCUUCUACUCUAAAAUUGUGUGUGGAAUUGUAAAGAAAUUGUACCAGGAUACAGUUGGGUUAAUUAUGCAAUAUUUUUUAUCAAUUGUCCAGCUCCUUAUAUUCUAAAAACUAAAGCUUAAGUCUUCAUGGUCUUGCCUGCUAGAUAGAUCUUUGGUAGAAAACUCCUAUAGUCUGUACUCAAGAAGUGCCUAAAAUUGAUCUGUAUUGAUUUUUAAGUCCUCUAAUAAAUUAUAUGUGUUUUCUAUGGUAUUGUAUGUGCUUGGCUUACUGAUGGGACAGUGCUGAGGGUUUCUGAGUCACUAUUUGUGCUUAAUUUGAGUAAAAAGCUUUGAAAUUGAAAAUACCCAUCAUAACCCUCAACAAACCAUGGUUUAAAGAACAUGAGUGAAACCAUUUUUAUUCCUUCCUAAUACAAGUAUUCCGUGACCCUGAUGUUAGUUAAUGCAGAGACUAGAAAACUGAAUUCUCUUUCUUUUUUUAAAAAGUUUUAACAGAAAAUUAUAUUGUGUUUUGUAAGACCCUAGUGAAAGUUCGUUGCUUAUGUAAGAGUAGCCUCUUAAUUCUCCUCAUAGUGAUUUGUAAUGUUGAGUCAUACAUAGCAUUUAGUUCUUGAGCCAUUUCAUGUGUGUGCAUGCCAAAAUCCUUCCUCUUUGUUUAAAUUCUAUGUAGUAACCAAAAUAUUUGAUAGAAUCCUAUUAUGUUUCUCAUAUAUUCUUACCCUUUCUUUCUUUCAUUCUGUCUUUUUUUUCCUAUCCCCUCCCUUCCUCCCUUCCUCUUUCCCUGCCUUCCUUCCUUCCCACAGAGUGUGACUGGAAACUCCAGGGGCAAAGACUUGACUGUAUUUUCAGUGAUUUACAAUUACAUUGUGUUCAUGUUUUAAAUCAUUCUGCAUGGAAAAUGUAUUUUGUGUAUAUGAUUUUCAAGUAUUGUAAUGUAUACUCCUUUCUUCCCCAAAACUGCUUACAUUGAUGAUAUACGUACAGAAUUCCUCUAAUAAUUUUUGCUUGACACUAGUCCUUUAGAUUCAAAUAGUCUUUUCUUACAUAUGUCCCUGUAUGGUUCCUUGAGAGGAGGUGAUAACCUGCAGAGCACUUUUAAAGAUAUUUUCUGGGUUAAUGUUCAAGAUAACACGUUGAAGAGGAAGCUAUAUAACUAUGUCUAAUGAGGGUUCUUCUGGUUACUAGAGAUGAGAAAAAUGUAUACUGAUUUUAACUUGUGCUGAAAAUACAUUUUACUAAUGGUAUUGAUUUUAAAUGUGACAGAUUCUUCUUGUAAGUACUCAUCUUCCUUGCUUAUUGUAUGUUCCUAGAGAAACCUACAUGAAAAUGUGUUCCAACUGGUAUCUUUGUAUAACUCCUCCUCCCCAGUUGAGCUCUGUGUACACUGACAUAACUGAAACUGCGUUUAAUACAGCAAACUAGAAAACCCUUUGAAAAUUUUUAGGUUUGUUGUAUUGGAAUUUCUAAUAUGCUAAAAGGUUUUGACUCAAGCUUUAUAUGUAAGAAGAGGUAGAAAAUUUGUCUUAUCUCUAUCAUUUUAUGAACUUUCUGUUUCUCUAUCCUAGGAGAAUUUUACACUCAAGGAAUAUUCCAAAAAGCCAUGAUCUUAGAGCACUUGGGUGCUUUUGUAUUUCAUAAGUGCUGAUGUGUUACGUGCUCAGGGAGAUCAUGCUUCAGUACCUUCUUGAUAAGACAACUUCCUGGAUGGCGGGGGGGAUAUUUACGUUUGUGCUCAGGUUGGGAGGGAAUGGCCAAUUGGAGCAGGGACCUCUCCAUUGAUAAAGCAGUACAAUCCGCUGCUUUACAGGUGUGUUAACUUCAUUCUACUUGUAACAACAUUCUUGUCUCUGUGACUUAUCAAAUGGCAAGCUACAGAGCUGUAAGGCAUUGGUCCAGGUGACCGAUAGUAGGACCUUGUUUAUAAUAAAGUAAAGAAUAAUGUUAAGAUAUGUUUUGGGGGAAAUGAGAAAUAAGGUUUUACUGGUGACAUUCUAUGUUUAAUAUGUACACUUACUUUUUUUAAAAGUUGCAUGUUAAUCUGGGAUAAAGUAUUGUCUCUGCUUUAUGCUUUACUGAGUAAAAAGAAAAAGAAAAAGACAAGUUAAAUUGUUACUCUAUUAUGUACUAUUACACGCAUACCUUUUCUUUUCGAAAGGGCUAAUUAUAAUUACUAUUCACACGUC
RNA transcript from Rhinolophus ferrumequinum (greater horseshoe bat), 7550 nucleotides. It is a transcript of the gene named ADP ribosylation factor like GTPase 5A, with no coding region annotated. The transcript has 7 exons. Lineage: Eukaryota; Metazoa; Chordata; Mammalia; Chiroptera; Rhinolophidae. The record is from RefSeq and is a predicted model, not a curated record.